This 468-nucleotide ribosomal RNA is filed under the name uncultured bacterium. RNAcentral's name for it is "partial 16S ribosomal RNA". It matches the Rfam family "Bacterial small subunit ribosomal RNA", at positions 28 to 507 of the family's 1533-position model. The record is from RNAcentral.
GACGAACGCUGGCGGCGUGCUUAACACAUGCAAGUCGAACGGAAAGGCCCUGCUUUUGUGGGGUGCUCGAGUGGCGAACGGGUGAGUAACACGUGAGUAACCUGCCAUUGACUUUGGGAUAACUUCAGGAAACUGGGGCUAAUACCGGAUAGGAGCUCCUGCUGCAUGGUGGGGGUUGGAAAGUUUCGGCGGCUGGGGUUGGACUCGCGGCUUAUCAGCUUGUUGGUGGGGUAGUGGCUUACCAAGGCUUUGACGGGUAGCCGGCCUGAGAGGGUGACCGGCCACAUUGGGACUGAGAUACGGCCCAGACUCCUACGGGAGGCAGCAGUGGGGAAUAUUGCACAAUGGGCGGAAGCCUGAUGCAGCAACGCCGCGUGCGGGAUGACGGCCUGCGGGUUGUAAACCGCUUUCGCCUGUGACGAAGCGUGAGUGACGGUAAUGGGUAAAGAAGCACCGGCUAACUACGUG